Molecule: ribosomal RNA, 487 nt
Filed under: uncultured bacterium
Lineage: Bacteria
Description: partial 16S ribosomal RNA
Rfam family: Bacterial small subunit ribosomal RNA
Source: RNAcentral
GACGAACGCUGGCGGCGUGCUUAACACAUGCAAGUCGAACGAUGAAGCCGGAGCUUGCUCCGGUGGAUUAGUGGCGAACGGGUGAGUAACACGUGAGCAAUCUGCCCUUGACUCUGGGAUAACUGCGGGAAACUGUAGCUAAUACCGGAUACGACACCUUGGGGCAUCCCAGGGUGUGGAAAGAAUUUCGGUCAAGGAUGAGCUCGCGGCCUAUGACUUAUCAGCUAGUUGGCAGGGUAAAAGCCUACCAAGGCAAUGACGAGUAGCGGGUGUGAGAGCAUGACCCGUCUCACUGGGACUGAGAUACUGCCCAGACUCCUACGGGAGGCUGCAGUCGCGAAUCUUCCUCAAUGGCCGAAAGGCUGAAGGAGCGACGCCGCGUGUAUGAAGACGCCCUUCGGGGUGUAAAAUACUUUUUUCUCUGACGAAACAAUGACGGUAAGAGAGGAAUAAGGAGCUGCUAACCUCGUGCCAGCCGCCGCAGUAA